AUUCAUGAAAAAUUUCAAAAUUAAUCCAAAACAUAAUUUUAAUUCAGAAAAUGAAAGAGGAAAAUAUUUAAAGAUUUUUGGUGAAAGUCCCAUAUUUUUUUGGAUUAAAAAUGAAAUUAAUAUGAAUUAAAAAAAUAAAUGGAUUAAAUGAAAAAUCAAAGAAUAAAAAGAAAUUCAAAAAAACAAACACAUGAGUCAAUUGCGCUGCAACAUGAGUCAAACAAAACAAAGGCCAGGAUUAAAACGUGGAAUCAAGAUCAGAUGGUUGAGAAGCAGCCAACACACCACCGGAGCCCUAGCUCCGUUCAAUUUCUCUAGUGAGGACCAUCGGACUGGUCCAACCAAAACUUCAUGAAAAGUGAAAAAAG
Molecule: long non-coding RNA, 368 nt
Filed under: Lathyrus oleraceus (garden pea)
Lineage: Eukaryota; Viridiplantae; Streptophyta; Magnoliopsida; Fabales; Fabaceae
Description: Pisum sativum (pea) long non-coding RNA (PSAT_LNC020624)
Source: RNAcentral